UUUGCAUUAAUUUCUUGAGAGAAAUCACAUGUUUAAAAAAAUACAGUUACUUUGAAAGAAAUUCCACGCUGGUAGUGUUGCUGUGGCCUUCCCAAGGUAUGUCCCUCUGCCUCUGGUGCUGUUGGGAACACCUGGAGGAAAGAUUUAAGAAGAUCUAGAAGCCACGGUGACUCAGACGGUAAAGCAUCUGCCUGCAAUGUGGGAGACCGGGGGUUCGAUUCUUGGGUCGGGAAGAUCCCCUGGAGAAAGAAAUGGCAAUCCACUCCAGCACUCUUGCCUGGAAAAUGUCUCAAAGAGUUGGACACGACUGAGCAACUUCACUUCAGUUAGUUAGGGCUUCCCUUGUGGCUCAGCUGGUAAAGAAUCCACCUGCAAUGUGAAAGACCGGGGUUCGAUCCCUGGGUUGGAAAGAUCCCCUGGAGGAGGGCAUGGCAACUCACUCCAGUAUUCUUGCCUGGAGAAUUCCAUGGACUGUUUAGUCUGUGGGGUCCCAAAGAGUCAGACAUGACUGAGCAAGUUUCACUUUUACUUUCUUUCACUUCAGGUUAGUUAAGAGCUUCCCUGAUGGCUCAGAUGGUAAAGCGUCUGCCUACAAUGCAGGAGACCCAAGUUCAAGUCCUGGGUCAGGAAGAUCCCCUGGAGGAGGAAAUGGCAACUCACUCCAGUAUUCUUGCCUGGAAAAUUCUGUGUGCCGAGGAGCCUGGCGGGCUACAGCCUAUGGUGUCACAAAGAGUUGGACACGAUUGAGUGACUAACACUUGCACUUACACUAAUUAUUCAGGUUGAUCACCUUGGCGGUACUUGGAUGGCAUCACUGACUCAAUGGACGUGAGUUUGAGCAAACUCCGGGAGAUGGUGAACGACUGGGAAGCCUGGUGUGCUGCAGUUCGUGGGGUUGCAGAGUCGGGCACGACUGAGCGCCUGAACAACAACGAAUCUUGGUGCUGGAGCUCCGCAGAGAGUGAAGAGCCCAUUCUGGACAGUGUGAAAAACCAGCUGUCUCUGAAAGCUAUCACGUGAGAACUAAGAAAGCACAGCCCCCCAGUUAAACAAAACAAAACUUCAGGCGGAUCCUUUGAGGAGCAGUGUUCUUUGCCAGCCAAGGCACCCUUGUGUGUUUCUGGACUCUGUCUCUGCGUCAUCGUUUAUUUCACUGGCCCUCCCCUGGAGUUUGGCAGGCGUUAGCUAAGAAUCUUUGCUUGCAAUAUUGCUUUAAUUAUUGGGACAUAUAUCCCCCUUUGAACAUUCAUUGCUUUAGUAUGUUGCCUUGCCUGAAAUAACGCUAUUCUUCUAUUGCUUUUUUCUUCCAGAAUAUGGAUCGUUUCAUAGCCUUCAGACAAUGUGGCAACUUUUUUUUUUUUUGGCUGUGCAUCAUGGCUUGUGGGAUCCUAGUACCCCGAGCAAGGAUUUGAACCACCACCCCUCUACCCGCCCCCACAUUGGAAGAGCAGAGUCUUAACCACUGGACCAGCAGGGAAUUCCCCAGUGUUGCAAUUUUUAGUAUUACUCAAUGGACUUAGUAUACCGUAGUGUUUCACAAGUUGGUUUCACUAUAUUCAUACUCUCCUUUUCAUGUCGUUUUCUGCAGGGGUAAUUGCUUUCUUGUGCUUUCAUCCCAGAAAGUCCAGUCUAGCAGAAAUUGGACUGCCUUGAUGUAAUCCUUGCUCUCAGCAGCAAAGACAUCCACGGGAUCACCCAGCUCGUUCCUGGUUUCCCAGAUGUCCUCUGGGGCAGCCUUAACCAGAAGUCUUUGGUUUAAAGGCUUUGUUCUAAAAAAAAUAAAUAAAGCUUCGUUCUUAUUAAGGGGAACCAGGGCUGCAUGAAGAAAAGUUAUGACCAACCUCGACAGCAUAUUGAAAAGCAGAGACAUUACUUUGCCAACAAAGGUCCAUCUAGUCAAAGCUGUGGUUUUACCAGUAGUCAUGUAUGGACGUGAGAGUUGGACUCUAAAGAAAGCUGAGUGCUGAAGAAUGGAUGCUUUUGAACUGUGGUGUUGGAGAAGACUCUUGAGAGUCCCUUGAAAUGCAAGGAGAUUCAACUAGUCUAUCCUAAAGGAGACUAGUCCUGGGUGUUCAUUGGAAGGACUAAUGCUGAAGCUGAAACCCCAAUCCUUUGGCCACCUGAUGCAAAGAACUGACUCAUUUGAAAAGACCCUGAUGCUGGGAAAGAUUGAGGGCAGGAGGAGAAGGGGCUGACAGAGGAUGAGAUGGUUGGAUGGCACCACCGACUCAACGGACAUGAGUUUGAGUAAACUCCAGGAGUUGGUGAUGGACAGGGAGGUCUGGUGUGUUGCAGUCCAUGAAGUUGCAGAGUCAGGCAUGCCUGAGCGACUGAACUGAACUGAACUGAGGGCUUCCUGGAAUGAGGGACACACAGACUCACACCUGAGCAGUCUUAGAGCAAAUGUAGUUCCUGUGUUUAAAGAAAACAGAGCUGUUUCUGAAACAUGAGAUUGAUUCCUGCACCUCUGGCAAUUAGCUGCUACCCUCCAUGCAGGGAGAUGAAGCUUUAAUUCACAGUGCAGGCUGCACUCAGAACAUCUUACACACCCCCGGCUUCAUUGGCUUCGUUUCUGCUAUCGUGUCAGCUGUGGUGGGCAUGCAGGGGAUGGUUGAUAAGUUGUGCAAGUGUAGAUAGGCUGUGGGCUUCCCUGGUGGCUCAGCGGUCCAGAAUCCACCUGCGAUGCAGGAGACGUGCAUUUGAUCCCUGGGUCUGGAAGAUCCACUGGAGGGGAAACUGGCAACCCACUCCAGUAUUCUUGCCUGGGAAAUCCCAUGGACAGAGGAGCAUGGCGGACUACAGUCCAUGCGGUCUCAAAGAGUCAGUCAUGACGGAGUGACUGAGCACGCACAUCGUAGGCUGUGACCCCUAGAAUAAUUUUAGUAUCUUCAUAUUUCAUUACAGAUAGAUUCAGUACAUAAUUGGGCUAUGGGACAACUGAAAGUUAUGACCAACCUAGACAGCAUAUUCAAAAGCAGAGACGUUACUUUGCCAACAAAGGUCCAUCUAGUCAAGGCUAUGGUUUUUCCUGUGGUCAUGUAUGGAUGUGAGAGUUGGACUGUGAAGAAGGCUGAAGAAUUAAUGCUUUUGAACUGUGGUGUUGGAGAAGACUCUUGAGAGUCCCUUGGACUGCAAGGAGAUCCAACCAGUCCAUUCUGAAGAUCAGCC
Bos grunniens (domestic yak) is the source of this 3168-nucleotide long non-coding RNA. NCBI's taxonomy places the organism in Eukaryota, Metazoa, Chordata, Mammalia, Artiodactyla, Bovidae. The record is from Ensembl.